RNAcentral lists this ribosomal RNA (596 nucleotides) under uncultured Solirubrobacteraceae bacterium. RNAcentral's name for it is "bacterial SSU rRNA". It matches the Rfam family "Bacterial small subunit ribosomal RNA", at positions 335 to 922 of the family's 1533-position model. Lineage: Bacteria; Bacillati; Actinomycetota; Thermoleophilia; Solirubrobacterales; Solirubrobacteraceae. The record is from RNAcentral.
ACUCCUACGGGAGGCAGCAGUGGGGAAUCUUGCGCAAUGCGCGAAAGCGUGACGCGGCAACGCCGCGUGGGGGAAGAAGGCCUUCGGGUUGUAAACCCCUUUCAGGAGGGACGAAGGUCGGGCGGUGAAUAGCCGACCCGACUGACGGUACCUCCAGAAGAAGCCCCGGCUAACUACGUGCCAGCAGCCGCGGUAAUACGUAGGGGGCAAGCGUUGUCCGGAAUUAUUGGGCGUAAAGAGCGUGUAGGCGGUCCGGUAAGUCGGCUGUGAAAGUCCAGGGCUCAACCCUGGGAUGCCGGUCGAUACUGCCGGACUAGAGUUCGGAAGAGGCGAGUGGAAUUCCCGGUGUAGCGGUGAAAUGCGCAGAUAUCGGGAGGAACACCUAUGGCGAAGGCAGCUCGCUGGGACGUUACUGACGCUGAGACSCGAAAGCGUGGGGAGCAAACAGGAUUAGAUACCCUGGUAGUCCACGCCGUAAACGAUGGGCACUAGGUGUGGGAGGUGUCGACUCCUCCCGUGCCGGAGCUAACGCAUUAGGUGCCCCSCCURRGGRGUACGGCCGCAAGGCUAAAACUCAAAGGAAUUGACGSGAWUCG